RNAcentral lists this non-coding RNA (172 nucleotides) under Gallaecimonas xiamenensis 3-C-1. RNAcentral's name for it is "Gallaecimonas sp. 3-C-1 Lysine riboswitch aptamer". It matches the Rfam family "Lysine riboswitch aptamer". From Rfam's summary of the family: Riboswitches are metabolite binding domains within certain messenger RNAs that serve as precision sensors for their corresponding targets. RNAcentral also lists the same sequence under 1 other name. Lineage: Bacteria; Pseudomonadati; Pseudomonadota; Gammaproteobacteria; Enterobacterales; Gallaecimonadaceae. The record is from Rfam by way of RNAcentral.
AGGACCAGAAGAGGUGCGUUGACCAGGUAACCAGCAAGAGGGGCCCUUUCCCUAAGACAGCUGGCCAGGGGGUAAACGCCGAGAUGCACGGCGCGGGGGCGCGCGGUGUCAUCGGUCAGACAGGUUGAAUCCUGUUGACUGUCACCUGAUUUGGUGGAGCGCUUCUGGUACA